AACAUGUAUGCGUGCAAGUUGCUUUGAAUAAAAGCGUCUGCUAAAUGGCAUAUA
This is a non-coding RNA of Salmo salar (Atlantic salmon), 54 nucleotides long. The record is from Rfam. Lineage: Eukaryota; Metazoa; Chordata; Actinopteri; Salmoniformes; Salmonidae.